UGACGGUAUCAGGGGAAUCAGCAUCGGCUAACUUCGUGCCAGCAGCCGCGGUAAUACGAGGGAUGCAAGCGUUAUCCGGAAUUAUUGGGCGUAAAGCGUCCGCAGGUGGCUCUGUAAGUCUGUCGUUAAAGAAUGGGGCUCAACCCCAUACAGGCGAUGGAAACUACAAGGCUAGAGUUUGGUAGGGGUCACGGGAAUUCUUAGUGUAGCGGUGAAAUGCGUAGAUAUUAAGAAGAACACCAGCGGCGAAAGCGCGUGACUGGGCCAGUACUGACACUUAUGGACGAAAGCUAGGGGAGCGAAAGGGAUUAGAUACCCCUGUAGUCCUAGCCGUAAACGAUGAUAACUAGGUGUUGCCCGUAUCGACCCGGGCAGUGCCGUAGCCAACGCGUUAAGUUAUCCGCCUGGGGAGUACGCACGCAAGUGUGAAACUCAAAGGAAUUGACGGGGGCCCGCACAAGCGGUGGAGUAUGUGGUUUAAUUCGAUGCAACGCGAAGAACCUUACCAAGGCUUGACAUGUCGCGAAUUCCCUUGAAAGGGGGAAGUG
Molecule: ribosomal RNA, 548 nt
Filed under: uncultured bacterium
Lineage: Bacteria
Description: bacterial SSU rRNA
Rfam family: Bacterial small subunit ribosomal RNA
Source: RNAcentral